Molecule: non-coding RNA, 2255 nt
Organism: Rattus norvegicus (Norway rat)
Lineage: Eukaryota; Metazoa; Chordata; Mammalia; Rodentia; Muridae
Source: RefSeq, a predicted model, not a curated record
GUCUAAAAAAAUAAAAGCAAUGUAGUAAUAAAAUGACUCCUAAUGAUGUUCUGCCAUACUCGUAGGCUAGUGCCUUGUUCAGCCAUCAGAGCUUCCUCCUGCAUCACAUGGGAACAAAUACAGAGACACACGGCCAGGCAUAAUGCAGACAGUGACAAACCUUGGAACACUCAGCUGUGAGAUGUCUCUUCCAUUUAAUCCCUCCCCUCAGAGCCUAGGGAACCAUGUUGUUGUAAAAAAAAUAAUAAAAAUAAAAAAAUAAAAAUGAAACGGUAAAUGUUUUUCCCUGGGUGUUUUACCCUGCUUGGGUUCCACACCUCAGUGUCCCAGAUAUCUGCUGGAUAUCUUGGCGGAAACACAGCCCAGCCACACACUUUCUUACACUGAGACUCUUACAUAUAAAAACACACCACACAAUAAUCUUAGAUCCAAUUGGUAAGAUAUAAUUGCCCACUUAAACAUACAAAGCCAGGUACCAUCUAUCCCUUGCACCUUUUAUUUACCAAGUCUCCAGCUUCUCCUUCUCCCACAACGACUCCUUGCUUCUCCUCUCUCUCUCUCUUUUCUUUACUCACUCUCCCAAAUAUAUCAACUCUUUUAUGUUUUAGUUUCUCCUUCUCUUGCAACGACUCCUAGCUUCUCCCCUCUCUCCAUCUCCUGUCUCCUCUAACUCUUCUCGGUUCCCCAUCGUGUUUCUAAACUGUCUUUACUCACUCUCCCAAAUAUAUCAACCCUUUCAUGCUUUAGUUUCUCUUUCUCUUACGACUCCUAGCUUCUCCCCUCUCUCCAUCUCCUGUCUCUUCUAACUCUUCUCAGUUCCCCAUCCUGUCUCUCAACCGUUCCCUUCUCCUCCUCAGCUUCCUUCUCUUCCCCUCACACUCUCAACUGUUCCAUCCUCUCCCCCCCCCCCUUCAGGUUCCACUGGCUCAACUGUCGCCAACUGUCCUCUCUAACCCUAUUCUCUGAAUCUAAUCCCCCUCUUGCUCCUGACUUUUCCCUCUGUCCAAAUCUCACGCUCUUGCCUUUAUUUAACAAAUUCAGAGAAAAUUUUAAGGCAAACCACAACAUUUCCCCCUUUUUGUCCAGUUAAAAAACCUUUUCCCUAUACAUAGGUGAACUAAGCAUUAUUACCAUUCUGCAAUUUAUAAAACCAACAGUAUGCUGAUCACCCAGUCCAUCAAUUCUGUUCAUUAACCAUGUUAUCUAUAUUAUAUCUUGGCAAGCUUGUAUACUAUCUGAUAACUAUCCAAUAAAAUAUGUAUAUUCAGAUUUAUACAGCCUGAUAGGUUAUGAGACUAUAAUCAGUCUUCAACCCCGUCAGAAAUCUGGGAAUGACCAAAUAUCUAUACACAUAGGAAGCCUAACAUGGCUUCCAGAACUGAGAGGUUGUAGAGACAAAUCUCCACUAGCACAGUCCCCUGUUAGCAACAUGUGAGCACAAGUCUUCAGCCUUCUGGCCCAAAAUCAACUGACAGACUCUUGAAAUGCAGAUUUUGAAGGACUGAUCACCCUGUCUUGGCAGAGUUUAUUAGUCAAACACCAGAAUGGGUAGAGGACACCAAGAAAACAAGCCAUUAGAUCAAUACCUGUUUCUGUUCAUGAGCGGAGUGUUAGCCUGACUCUCUAUCCACCAUUUCCCUCGCUACAGGAGCUGGGAACUGCAGUAAGUUGAGAAAUUUUCCUCUUGCCGUGUCUUCCACCCAACAGAGAUGAGCUUUUCAGAGAUGUGUGCUUCUUAGUCCCAAAGGUGCACGAUGUCUUGAUCUGAAUGGGGGAAAAGUCAGAAAAUUCUCUUCCAGAGCAGCUGGCCCUCGAUUGCCUGGUGAUAGAUUUUAAACCCACAGAGGUGCACAUUAUUUUCUUCCACUUGACCCAGGAACUGGUUCAGCUUUAAAGGGAACUGGGAGGCACUUGCCACAGGAAAACAGAUCUGCUGAGUGUCUGCCGCACUCCCAAACCCCUCCACUGUGCCUUCCACGCCCUAUGUUACAAAGGAAGUGCGUGUGAUCCCAGCGCUUAGAGGUUUUGGCAGGGAGAUUACCGAGGAAGGCAGGCCCACCAUCUCCUGGUCCUGUAUGUGACCAGUUUUCAUUCUGCUUCGUGGUGUAUCUCGGGGGUGCCCAGUGGAGUCAGAGUUAUCUACCUCUGGAGCUGGGACCUAGUCUCCUAAGUUCUGCUUUGGCUUUCAGGACCUCUCUCUCCAACAAUAGUUAUUCUUGACAGUUUUCAUAAUAAAAUAAAUCGAAAAGACGGAA